Molecule: unclassified non-coding RNA, 300 nt
Filed under: Zea mays
Lineage: Eukaryota; Viridiplantae; Streptophyta; Magnoliopsida; Poales; Poaceae
Description: misc RNA Zm00001eb056270
Source: RNAcentral
CUUCUCUUUCUCUAGCGGCGGCCCGGACUCCGGAGGAGAGGCUGAGAGCAGACGACAGAGUUCCUGCCACUGACGGGCUGAGACUGACCGCAGUAAUAAAACCAGGAAAAAAGGUAAAUUUCUGCAAUGAUGGGAAAGCUAAACCCCGGGGGGCAAAAGGGGAGGAAUAUACACAGGCGCACAGUCCCCGGCAUGCAUGGCUUGCUGCCUGCGUCGUCCGGGUAUUUUUUUUAGCGUGGAUCUCGAAAAAAUUACUGCUUUUGCUAAAGCGCAGCAGCAGCGAACCACAGCGGGGGCAGG